Long non-coding RNA from Salvia miltiorrhiza (redroot sage), 2403 nucleotides. RefSeq lists it as uncharacterized. The record is from RefSeq and is a predicted model, not a curated record. NCBI's taxonomy places the organism in Eukaryota, Viridiplantae, Streptophyta, Magnoliopsida, Lamiales, Lamiaceae. The transcript is spliced from 2 exons.
GAGCUUUCAACAUGUUGUCAACGACGGGCUGCCUCACGGUUGCCUGUCAAGAAGAUGAAUCGAUUUUGAGUGGUUUUUGAUCAGCAAACAAAGUUUAAACUAAAAACACUCAAGGCCAAUUUACUCUAGGUACAAACAUUCUAGGGCAAACGAGUCGUGAGUUCUUUCUAGAUAAUAUCACAUAUUAAAUCAGCGAUGGAACCAGCAGACACCAAAAGAUAGAGAUAUCUGCAUAUUUUUUGGCAUAAGACGAAUAUUAAUAAAGCUUGUUUCAAGAAUCCGAGACUUCUGUAGGACCUGUAUUUCUGGAAGCAUUCCAGUAUUGAAUGCAAAAACAAGGUUUGCUGAUGCACCGAUGGUAGUAAAAAUUUUGCUAGUAGUUGUUCCGUGAAUGCUGUAGUCUCGGGGAGGAGCUUCAACGCCUGCAAAAUAAAUUACUUACUCAGAAAAAAGAAACAACGAAAUUCAGCAUCUGAAAGUUAAUAUCCACUACCACUCUGCCAGUGGAGCUGAUUCUAGGCAUCAAUGGACAUCAGUGAUGUAGAAGUUAAAAAUAUAAUUUAAUAAUAUAGAACCUUUUUUUUUUUUUUUGAGAAGAAUAAUAUAAAACUUUUGUGGUGGGAAGAAUCGAUCGAGAAAGAAGCAUGCAACAUAAAUCUUAGACCUCAUAGUUAUUUAGCUAAACAGAAAUCAGAGGUAAAAACGUAAAAACGACUGCAAACAAAUCAGGAACCAUGAUCAAGACCUCAUAGUGGACAAAGCAUGCUACAUAGUCUCGAAAGAGUAGAUAUAGGGGUAUUUUCAAUUAAAUUUCGUAGUCUAAGGGAAGCAUUUUAAAUGUUCUGUGAUAAAAAGGAAAGCGCUCGACUUUCAAGGGAGCCAAAAAUUGCCUUCUGUUAGAAACCCAACUUAAAUUUGACAAACUUAGUAAUAACAAGGAAAGGAAAUGGCCAUACCAUCUUUUAGAGCCAGAACAAAUGCUGUGACAAUGUACACCGUACUAAAAACUGUUGAAAAUGCCAGCCAUGCUCGUAGAGCUGAUAAAUGGGGUACGGCAAUUGCAAAAAGGAUACACGCGAAGCCAGAAACUGCAAUGCAGUGUGGAAGCUUCAUGCCAGACUCUUCUUGGAAAAGUGCAUAAAGAGCCUGCAUAUAAUGUCAAUAAAAUCAAGGAAUCAGCUCACACCUUAAUAUUUAGUGGUGAGCUAAAUUGACGUCUUCUGUAGUUUGUAUAAAUAAAGAACUACAAUCCAAGAGUUUGAACCUCUUCAUAAGUUACGUGAAAAAUAACUUCAUAGACAACUAUUGGUUCGUUUAUUACAAGAGAACAAAAGCAAGUUACCUUGAGGGCACUGCCGGCUAAAAUGAUGUACCCGACAUUGAUCAUGAAGAGAUUAACAUACUGCAGCGCCCACGUAAGACUAUAGGCUUCGUCACCUACAACACCAGAAAGGAUAUUACAUUCAUAUCACAAUUAAUCUACCUCUUCUCUCUCAGAUCACUAUAUGACUCUUACCAUACAUAAAUCCUGCAAGGUCUCUAUAUCUGAUAUGUCUCCUUCCUCCAUAUUCAUGAAGCUUGGCGACCAACAUAUUUGCAUACAAAGAUAUCGCUGUUGCUAAAAUUAGCCCGACCACACCACCAAUCCAACCCAACGGUACCAUAAUAGUGCCAGAGUAUCCCAACACAUAUGCACUGUUUAUCCCCGUUGUAAGGACAAACGCCACCUGGAACCACGAAUCUACAUGCACGACAUGAAAAAAUAAGCCGGGAACACAUGGAACAAUCGAGUGCAUAACAGAUCACCGAGCUUACUUUUUCAUUACUCGAGCAACUGAAAUUCGAAUUUAGCUUCAAUCAUAUCAAAGGUUAAUGUGCAUCACUCUAUUAGAUGAUCUAACUUCUAAAGCAUCCCACAAUCAAACUGCUAAGAUGAAUACAGUAAAUAAUAAACAGAGAGCAGAAUUCCCAAAUGAAAUGAUCUUCAGCCAAAUUGCAAACAGAAACUACAUCUCUUAUAAUCAAAGCAGAGACUAACUAUCAAAGUACUAAUCAAUUAACAUUAAACAGCUUCAAAAAGGCAUGCAAAACAUCAAUUCCAUCAAGAGAACAAACUAAAGAAUAAACCGCUUUUUAAAUACGAACUAACGCAAAUUGCAUAAAGCAAAAUUCAAGAGCCAUAAGAUAAACAGUGUUAGGAACCGGAAAAAGAAAACAAUAAAAUUCGGAAAGAACCUUGACUAAUUUGAUGGGCGGUGUCAGAAAUGUCAACAAUCACAGAAUCCUUAGAAGAAUAGGCAGAGCCAGAGCCGCCCGAAACGGCGUCGUUUGAUUCCGGAGCAACGACCAUUUCCUCGCCUCUCAAAAGUGCCGAUGUUAUAUCUCCGCCGUCAGCCGUCAGGC